UGGGGAAUAUUGGACAAUGGGCGGAAGCCUGAUCCAGCAACGCCGCGUGAGGGAUGACGGCCUUCGGGUUGUAAACCUCUUUCAGCACAGACGAAGCGCAAGUGACGGUAUGUGCAGAAGAAGGACCGGCCAACUACGUGCCAGCAGCCGCGGUAAUACGUAGGGUCCGAGCGUUGUCCGGAAUUAUUGGGCGUAAAGGGCUCGUAGGCGGUUUGUCGCGUCGGGAGUGAAAACACCGGGCUUAACUCGGUGCUUGCUUUCGAUACGGGCAGACUAGAGGUAUUCAGGGGGAGAACGGAAUUCCUGGUGUAGCGGUGAAAUGCGCAGAUAUCAGGAGGAACACCGGUGGCGAAGGCGGUUCUCUGGGAAUAUCCUGACGCUGAGGAGCGAAAGU
This 394-nucleotide ribosomal RNA is filed under the name uncultured bacterium. RNAcentral describes it as "partial 16S ribosomal RNA". It matches the Rfam family "Bacterial small subunit ribosomal RNA", at positions 355 to 760 of the family's 1533-position model. The record is from RNAcentral.